GGCCGCUGCGCCCCCAGCUAGCCGCCAGCCUGGAAAUGGCUCCGCUGAUGCUCCUCGUGAGAACGAAUCGAUCCUUCCCAGCCUUCUCUGCCUGCUCUCCACCUCCUCUCUGCUCCGAGUCUUAGGAGAACGAACAUUCAAAGGACAGAUUCCAAUGUGGUGUGCUGUGCACAUCGCGAGCGGCUGGGGUUUGCACUUCGAGAUUUCUUCUUUAUAAUUUUUUUUUUUUAAUGUAAGGGAGACAGUGGAAUUGCUACCCGUAGAAUUUUUAUUCAAGUGCACGUCGCGUUGGGUUGCACGCUCCACCCCCAGGGACCUGGUGUGGUGAAAUUUGAACCCACCGCCUUAGCCCAAAGGCCGAGUAACCUGGCUGCUUGAGUGUCGUGGAAGACGUGAGCGAAAUGAUCAGCGAACUCAUUUUUUAUCAGACUCACUGAAGCUGGCUUUUGCGUUUUUCUACACGUACACUAAUUUUAUGGAAUAGUUAAAGUGCUAUAUUCUCCGCGCAACCUUUUCAAAUUCCAAAUGUUUGAACGUUUUGGUGUCAGCGCGAGUGAAAUCAUUUUACCGACAAGAACUAACUGAAUUGUCUGCCUCGUUGAGUUGC
RNAcentral lists this long non-coding RNA (607 nucleotides) under Rattus norvegicus (Norway rat). RNAcentral's name for it is "long non-coding RNA NONRATT014930". The record is from RNAcentral. Lineage: Eukaryota; Metazoa; Chordata; Mammalia; Rodentia; Muridae.